Molecule: ribosomal RNA, 277 nt
Filed under: uncultured bacterium
Lineage: Bacteria
Description: partial 16S ribosomal RNA
Rfam family: Bacterial small subunit ribosomal RNA
Source: RNAcentral
AGCGAACGCUGGCGGCGUGCUUAACACAUGCAAGUCGUGCGAGAAAGGGAGCUACGGCUUCUGAGUAGAGCGGCGCACGGGUGCGUAACACGUGGGUGAUCUGUCCCGAGGUUGGGGAUACCCCGCCGAAAGGUGGGAUAAGACCCGAUACGCCCCUGGCCUUGCGAGGCGAGGGGGAAAGGAUGCGGUUGCGGUCGCAUGCGCGUCGGGAGGAGCCCGCGGCCUAUCAGCUUGUUGGUAGGGUAACGGCCUACCAAGGCGAUGACGGGUAGCUGGU